Molecule: ribosomal RNA, 468 nt
Filed under: uncultured bacterium
Lineage: Bacteria
Description: partial 16S ribosomal RNA
Rfam family: Bacterial small subunit ribosomal RNA
Source: RNAcentral
GACGAACGCUGGCGGCGUGCUUAACACAUGCAAGUCGAACGGAAAGGCCCUGCUUUUGUGGGGUGCUCGAGUGGCGAACGGGUGAGUAACACGUGAGUAACCUGCCCUUGACUUUGGGAUAACUUCAGGAAACUGGGGCUAAUACCGGAUAGGAGCUCCUGCUGCAUGGUGGGGGUUGGAAAGUUUCGGCGGUUGGGGAUGGACUCGCGGCUUAUCAGCUUGUUGGUGGGGUAGUGGCUUACCAAGGCUUUGACGGGUAGCCGGCCUGAGAGGGUGACCGGCCACAUUGGGACUGAGAUACGGCCCAGAUUCCUACGGGAGGCAGCAGUGGGGAAUAUUGCACAAUGGGCGGAAGCCUGAUGCAGCAACGCUGCGUGCGGGAUGACGGCCUUCGGGUUGUAAACCGCUUUCGCCUGUGACGAAGCGUGAGUGACGGUAAUGGGUAAAGAAGCACCGGCUAACUACGUG